Molecule: non-coding RNA, 29 nt
Filed under: Rattus norvegicus (Norway rat)
Lineage: Eukaryota; Metazoa; Chordata; Mammalia; Rodentia; Muridae
Source: RNAcentral
UUUUCAGACGUGUACUGGAUCAAGGUGUC